UGACACGGCAUUCCCUGUUACCCACUCUUUGCUGUAGCUGUGCCUUCACUUGUCUCUGAGCACAGAGUGGGGGGCCAGCCCCAGCCCUGCCCUUGGGGUGCUUACAGUGGGCCCCAGGUAGCUGCAGGCCUCAGAGAUCUCAGCUGUCAGAAUCUCAGAACACAGGAGCUGAAAGGGCCCAAGAGCAAGUCUGUCCCCUGCUUUUUAUUGGAGAGGUGAUGGAAUGGACAAAAAUGUCCCUUGGAUACUAAAACGGCCAUCUUCCCUGGCUUUUUGAGAUCAUGCUCUCAGAAAUUAGAAGACUUGGGUUCUGCUUCCAGAGGCAUAAAUCUGAGUCAUGUAUUGGAUUCAGAAUCUGGUUUCUGAGCACUGAUCUUGUUGUCAGUGAAUGGGCUGAGCCACCUGUGACACAUCUGCAUCACGUCAUAGCUUUAUUACCCUCUGUUGCUGCUUUUCAUGUAGAAAUUUGUGAAUGACAAAAACUCAUGUUUCUUUAUGGAAAAUGGAUGCCACAAGAAUGAUAACUGCUGGUGCUGAUGAUGGAAGCAAAGAGAUAUAAAAAAAUGGUCAUUCAUUCUUCAAAAUGGGAGUCUUAAACAAGUUGAAGAAGAGUGGAACAUGGGAUUGGCAGUGACCCAGAUCUGUGUCAUGAUCACGUCUACCAUAAGCUCUAUGCAAAACCUCAGAAUAAGUGGUUUGUGAAUUUCUACAGAUAUUUGUCUGGAAAACUGUGUGAAAUCUGAAAGGAUGGGAACUUGAGGUAUGAGAACGUGUAAAGAGAAGAGGAGACCUGACCGAAAUGAUAUGCUAUAGAAGUCUUUACCAUUUUAAGAAUUUCCCCAGGUCUGAUGGAAGCUUCAUGAAUGCAAUGGAUUUGCUCUACCUAAGUACACAGCUUGGUAGGGGAUUGGAUAUAGAAAUCCCUUUCUCUUUUUAUUCAGGGAAGAAAGCAAAUGGGAGCAUCUGGGAUCAUGAGGGUAUCGUGUUGGAGUGAGCUGGGCUAAGACUCCCCAUGACCCAUCCCUGGCCACAGCCAAAGGGCUGGCUCGAGACUCCUCCCCAGCCUCUCCAUUCCCAAGGCAGCACAGAUUCCUGCUUCACGAUUGGCAGGUUCAAGUAUGAUCGCUCUACCCUUGGCCUCAUUUCCUCAAUGCCCUGCCCUCCUUUAUUCCUCUGCUUUCCUGGCUUCAGUGUUUCUACCAGCAUUUUCAAUAUAGAAGGGGACUCAUCAGAUCAGCUUCUACCAGGGCUGAUAUUUAACUUGCUGAGGAGCCAACAGUUGUGACAUUAAGAAAGAACAGUAAGAGCAACGGUGUCACUGAAAACAAGGAUAACUAGUGGGCUAUUUUAUGCACAAAUGGUCCUUUGCCAUUCCCAUCAAGCUGAAAACAAAUAUCCUGAAACUAUUGAUCAGCAGCCAGUUAAAUUAAAUAUCUAAUUAAAAGAGAACUAGAGCUGUUUUAAAAUCAGACACUUCAAACACUUGCCAGUCAGAACAUGAUGAAACUGGGGGUUUUAACUCAGUAGCAGCAGCAAAUAAAAUAUUUACAGAUCUAAGCUGAAAUAAAUGCAUAGAUUCUCAUUUUUAAGGAGGAUGCACAUAGUGCUAUUUCAAACACACCCUGGCGAAUACUUGAUGCCUCUGAUUUAGAGAAUGUGCGGGGAGCACCAUUUGUCAGGAAAUGGGAUAGAACCAUCCAAUGUUUCCAAGUGUGAUCAUUUCUAAUGGAACAGGGAGAACUCUACAAAUGGAAUUCAAGUAGGAUUGCCA
Molecule: long non-coding RNA, 1771 nt
Filed under: Homo sapiens (human)
Lineage: Eukaryota; Metazoa; Chordata; Mammalia; Primates; Hominidae
Description: HSALNT0013254
Source: RNAcentral